Molecule: ribosomal RNA, 403 nt
Filed under: uncultured bacterium
Lineage: Bacteria
Description: partial 16S ribosomal RNA
Rfam family: Bacterial small subunit ribosomal RNA
Source: RNAcentral
AUUGAACGCUGGCGGCAGGCCUAACACAUGCAAGUCGAGCGAGCGGCGGACGGGUGAGUAAUGUAUGGGGACUGCCCGAUAGAGGGGGAUAACUACUGGAAACGGUGGCUAAUACCGCAUACUAUCGGAUAACCAAUAUGGGAUUAGCUAGUAGGUGGGGUAAAGGCUCACCUAGGCGACGAUCACUAGCUGGUCUGAGAGGAUGAUCAGCCACACUGGGACUGAGAAACGGCCCAAACUCCUACGGAGGCAGCAGUGGGGAAUAUUGCGCAAUGGGCGCAAUCCUGAUGCAGCCAUACCGCGUGUAUGAAGAAGGCCUUAGGGUUGUAAAGUACUUUCAACGGGGAGGCGUUACCCGCAGAAAAAACACCGGCUAACACCGUGCCAGCAGCAGCAGUAAUUC